RNAcentral lists this ribosomal RNA (467 nucleotides) under uncultured bacterium. RNAcentral's name for it is "partial 16S ribosomal RNA". It matches the Rfam family "Bacterial small subunit ribosomal RNA", at positions 28 to 507 of the family's 1533-position model. The record is from RNAcentral.
GACGAACGCUGGCGGCGUGCUUAACACAUGCAAGUCGAACGGAAAGGCCCUGCUUUUGUGGGGUGCUCGAGUGGCGAACGGGUGAGUAACACGUGAGUAACCUGCCCUUGACUUUGGGAUAACUUCAGGAAACUGGGGCUAAUACCGGAUAGGAGCUCCUGCUGCAUGGUGGGGGUUGGAAAGUUUCGGCGGUUGGGGAUGGACUCGCGGCUUAUCAGCUUGUUGGUGGGGUAGUGGCUUACCAAGGCUUUGACGGGUAGCCGGCCUGAGAGGGUGACCGGCCACUUUGGGACGAGGAUACGGCCAGACUCCUACGGGAGGCAGCAGUGGGGAAUAUUGCACAAUGGGCGGAAGCCUGAUGCAGCAACGCCGCGUGCGGGAUGACGGCCUUCGGGUUGUAAACCGCUUUCGCCUGUGACGAAGCGUGAGUGACGGUAAUGGGUAAAGAAGCACCGGCUAACUACGUG